RNAcentral lists this ribosomal RNA (433 nucleotides) under uncultured bacterium. RNAcentral's name for it is "bacterial SSU rRNA". It matches the Rfam family "Bacterial small subunit ribosomal RNA", at positions 29 to 507 of the family's 1533-position model. The record is from RNAcentral.
AACGAACGCUGGCGGCAGGCCUAACACAUGCAAGUCGAACGCCCUAGCAGUAGGGAGUGGCAGACGGGUGAGUAACACGUGGGAACCUUCCCUAUAGUAUGGAAUAGCCCAGGGAAACUUGGAGUAAUACCGUAUACGCCCGAGAGGGGAAAGAUUUAUCGCUAUAGGAUGGGCCCGCGUAGGAUUAGCUAGUUGGUGAGGUAAUGGCUCACCAAGGCGACGAUCCUUAGCUGGUCUGAGAGGACGACCAGCCACACUGGGACUGAGACACGGCCCAGACUCCUACGGGAGGCAGCAGUGGGGAAUAUUGGACAAUGGGCGCAAGCCUGAUCCAGCCAUGCCGCGUGAGUGAUGAAGGCCUUAGGGUUGUAAAGCUCUUUUGCCGGGGACGAUAAUGACGGUACCCGGAGAAUAAGUCCCGGCUAACUUCGUG